GAAACGCCUUGCUCAGGCAGUGGUCCCGGCAGCCACGUGUGGCCCUGGGAGAGGUGGGAAGGCUGCUUUGCGUGAGCGCCAGCCCUCCUGGGGGCCCUGAGAGCCCCGCUGGCCUGCUGUCUCUGGACACCUCCCCACGGAAGACUGGGCUGGCGGGGUGAUCAGAAGGCAAGCCACAGGUGGCCGUCGUGCCCAAGGCCCACCCUCGCUCCGUGGUGCGGGAGGGUCGUCCCACCUCGACCACGCCCCCGCCCAGAUGCUCCGUCGGGUCAGUGGGGCGGCGCGCAGACGGCUCAGGGCUGUCAUCUGUGACCACGCUGGGGAGGUUUUACUGGGUCUGACCCAGGCGCAGUCGUGCCCUGACCCUCACCCUUUUCGGCUCCCCCCACUUGAAAGGAGCAAUACGGGGAAGGCGGAGACGCACUUCCCUCCCUGGGCUGAUUCCCCGGAGGUCAGGUGCCCCUGGGCGCCAGCCUCCCGCAGAGCACAGAGCGGUGCAGGCCGGGGACGAGGCUUCUGCCCCGGGAGUCAGAGAGGACGUGAUUCCUGCAGGGGCAGGAAAAAAAGCCAGUGGGCCCCUGGCUGGGGCGGGACAGGAGGGCCUCUCUGGGCUGGGGGUCACAGAUGUGGAUUGUGUUUGAAAAGAGAUUUUUUGCUGUGUUGUCCCGGCUGUGAAGGAAUAGGUGCUGCUUUUGGACGAGCCGGUGGAUUUGCACGCGUGGGAAACUGCCGCUUCUUGUGUUCCAGGGCCGGGCACUUACGGGGCUCUGCGUGCCCCAGCAGCAGCCUGCCGGGCCCGGGGCUUGGGCACACGGGCACGCGGAGUGGCUCCUGCCAGGCCUGCGCGGCGGCAGACAGGAGCUGUGGCGUCCUUGAGGUCAAGUGCGCUGGGCUCCAAGUCCUGUUCAGCACUUACAACGAGACAUGUGCGCUUUCCAGUGGAUUUUAUUUUUUACAGCAGUUUUGGGUUCCCAGCAAUGUUGAGAGGAAAGCGCCGGAAGUGCCCACGGACGCCCUGCCUUCCCGCACUCCACGCCCGCCAGACCCUGUGUUGUCAGUCACCACGAACCUGGAGGGCCACGUGGUCAUCGCCCAGGGUGCAGAGCGUGCACAAGGGCCGCUCCGGGCUGUCCAUCCGUGUUUGGACAGCUGAUGGUGGCACAGACCCGCCGUCUGGCCUCAGGCACGGUGUGCUCGCUGCCCUACGUGUCCGGAGAUGCACGCUCUCGUGACGCUGGUCAACCUGCUCCCCCAUAAUCCCCACCCCGGUCGACCUAUAGGCCGUUCCCCUCCCACCCGCAGCACCCCACGGUCCCUCGGACUCACGCGGCCCAG
Molecule: long non-coding RNA, 1335 nt
Filed under: Ursus maritimus (polar bear)
Lineage: Eukaryota; Metazoa; Chordata; Mammalia; Carnivora; Ursidae
Description: lncRNA (ENSUMAG00000023143.1)
Source: RNAcentral